UACGUAGGGGGCAAGCGUUGUCCGGAUUCAUUGGGCGUAAAGAGCGUGUAGGCGGCCAGGUAGGUCGGUUGUGAAAACUGGAGGCUCAACCUUCAGAGGUCGACCGAAACCAUCUGGCUAGAGUCCGGGAGAGGAGAGUGGAAUUCCUGGUGUAGCGGUGAAAUGCGCAGAUAUCAGGAAGAACACCCGUGGCGAAAGCGGCUCUCUGGAUCGGUACUGACGCUGAGACGCGAAAGCGUGGGGAGCGAACAGG
Molecule: ribosomal RNA, 253 nt
Filed under: uncultured bacterium
Lineage: Bacteria
Description: partial 16S ribosomal RNA
Rfam family: Bacterial small subunit ribosomal RNA
Source: RNAcentral